GACGAACGCUGGCGGCGUGCCUAAUACAUGCAAGUUGAGCGCUGAAGGUUGGUACUUGUACCAACUGGAUGAGCAGCGAACGGGUGAGUAACGCGUGUGGAAUCUGCCUUUGAGCGGGGGACAACAUUGGGAAACGAAUGCUAAUACCGCAUAAAAACUUUAAACACAAGGUUUAAUUUUGAAAUAUGCCAGUGCAUGACUCACAGAUGAUCCCGCGUUGUUUUGGUUGGGUGGUGGGGUAAAGGCUCACCAAGGGGAGGAUACAUAGCCGACCUGAGAGGGUGGGCGGCCACCUUGGGACUGAGACACGCCCCAAUCGCCUACGGGAGGCAGCAGUAGGGCAUCUUCGGCCAUGGACGAAAGUCUGACCGAGCAACGCCGCGGGAGUGAAGAAGGUUGUCGGAUCGUAAAACUCUGUUGGUAGAGAAGAACGUUGGUGAGAGUGGAAAGCUCAUCAAGUGACGGUAACUACCCAGAAAGGGACGGCUAACUACGUG
RNAcentral lists this ribosomal RNA (497 nucleotides) under uncultured bacterium. Its description in RNAcentral is "partial 16S ribosomal RNA". It matches the Rfam family "Bacterial small subunit ribosomal RNA", at positions 28 to 507 of the family's 1533-position model. The record is from RNAcentral.